GUGCCAGCAGCCGCGGUAAUACGGAGGAGGCAAGCGUUAUCCGGAAUUAUUGGGCGUAAAGCGUCCGCAGGGGGCGCAUCAAGUCUGCUGUUAAAGGUCGGAGCUAAACUCCGGUAGAGCAGUGGAAACUGGUGCGCUAGAGGGCGACAGGGGUAGAGGGAAUUCCCAGUGUAGCGGUGAAAUGCGUAGAGAUUGGGAAGAACACCGGUGGCGAAAGCGCUCUACUGGGUCGCACCUGACCCUCAGGGACGAAAGCUAAGGUAGCGAAAGGGAUUAGAUACCCCUGUAGUCUUAGCCGUAAACGAUGGAUACUAGGCGUGGUUUGUAUCGACCCAAGCCGUGCCGAAGCUAACGCGUUAAGUAUCCCGCCUGGGGAGUACGCACGCAAGUGUGAAACUCAAAGGAAUUGACGGGGGCCCGCACAAGCGGUGGAGGACGUGGUUUAAUUCGAUGCAACGCGAAGAACCUUACCAGGGCUUGACAUCCCGCGAAGUUUGGGGAAACUCAGACGUGCCUACGGGAACGCGGAGACAGGUGGUGCAUGGCUGUCGUCAGCUCGUGUCGUGAGAUGUUGGGUUAAGUCCCGCAACGAGCGCAACCCUCGUCCUUAGUUGCCAGCAUUAAGUUGGGCACUCUAGAGAGACUGCCGGUGACAAACCGGAGGAAGGUGAGGAUGACGUCAAGUCAGCAUGCCCCUUAUGCUCUGGGCAACACACGUCCUACAAUGGUCGGGACAAAGGGGAGCAAGCUCGCGAGAGUAAGCGAAUCCCAGCAAACUCGGCCUCAGUUCAGAUAGCAGGCUGCAACUCGCCUGCUGAAGGAGGAAUCGCUAGUA
RNAcentral lists this ribosomal RNA (835 nucleotides) under uncultured organism. RNAcentral's name for it is "bacterial SSU rRNA". It matches the Rfam family "Bacterial small subunit ribosomal RNA", at positions 505 to 1340 of the family's 1533-position model. The record is from RNAcentral.